RNAcentral lists this transfer RNA (76 nucleotides) under Spelaeicoccus albus. RNAcentral's name for it is "tRNA-Thr". It matches the Rfam family "tRNA". Rfam says of the family: Transfer RNA (tRNA) molecules are approximately 80 nucleotides in length. Their secondary structure includes four short double-helical elements and three loops (D, anti-codon, and T loops). The record is from RNAcentral. Lineage: Bacteria; Bacillati; Actinomycetota; Actinomycetes; Micrococcales; Brevibacteriaceae.
GCCUCCUUAGCUCAGUCGGCAGAGCGUUUUACUCGUAAUAAAAAGGUCGUCGGUUCGAUUCCGACAGGAGGCUCCA